This 494-nucleotide ribosomal RNA is filed under the name uncultured bacterium. Its description in RNAcentral is "partial 16S ribosomal RNA". It matches the Rfam family "Bacterial small subunit ribosomal RNA", at positions 28 to 507 of the family's 1533-position model. The record is from RNAcentral.
GACGAACGCUGGCGGCGGGCUUAACACAUGCAAGUCGAACGGAAAGGCCUGCUUUCCUUCGUGUAUUGCGGGUACUCGAGUGGCGAACGGGUGAGUAACACGUGAGUGAUCUGCCCCCAACUUGGGUAUAAGCCAGGGAAACUGGUUCUAAUUCCCGUCAGGACUGCAGGGUGGUGGCUGUUGUGGAAAACGAUCAUCGAGUGUGUGGGGAUGAGCUCGCGGCCUAUCGGGUGGGUGGUGGGGCAAUGGCAUACCAAGGCGGCGACGGGUAGCGGGCGUGAGACGAUGGACGGCCGCACUGGGACUCGGAUGCGGCCCCGACUCGUGCGAGAGGCGGCGGUGAGGGCUAUAGGGCAGUAGGCGGAAGGCUGAUGCGGCGACGGCGCGUAGGGGACGACGGCGUUCGAGUUGUAAUCUCCUUUCGAGCGAGAGAGAACCGCCAGGUUGGAAGCGUAGUGACGGUAGUGGUAGAAGAAGCACCGGCUAACUACGUG